AGAAUCAACGCUGGCGGCGUGCCUAACACAUGCAAGUCGCACGAGAAAGUGGAGCAAUCCACGAGUAAAGUGGCGCACGGGUGAGUAACACGUGAAUAAUCUACCUCCGAGUGGGGAAUAACUGAGAGAAAUCUUAGCCAAUACCGCAUAAUACCCACGGGUCAAAGCAGCAAUGCGCUUGGAGAGGAGUUCGCGGCCGAUUAGCUAGUUGGCGGGGUAAUGGCCCACCAAGGCGAUGAUCGGUA
Molecule: ribosomal RNA, 245 nt
Filed under: uncultured bacterium
Lineage: Bacteria
Description: partial small subunit ribosomal RNA
Rfam family: Bacterial small subunit ribosomal RNA
Source: RNAcentral